AUUGAACGCUGGCGGCAGGCCUAACACAUGCAAGUCGAACGGUAACAGGAAACAGCUUGCUGUUUCGCUGACGAGUGGCGGACGGGUGAGUAAUGUCUGGGAAACUGCCUGAUGGAGGGGGAUAACUACUGGAAACGGUAGCUAAUACCGCAUAACGUCGCAAGACCAAAGAGGGGGACCUUCGGGCCUCUUGCCAUCGGAUGUGCCCAGAUGGGGUUAGCUAGUAGGUGGGGUAACGGCUCACCUAGGCGACGAUCCCUAGCUGGUCUGAGGGGAUGACCAGCCACACUGGAACUGAGACACGGUCCAGACUCCUACGGGAGGCAGCAGUAGGGAAUAUUGCACAAUGGGCGCAAGCCUGAUGCAGCCAUGCCGCGUGUAUGAAGAAGGCCUUCGGGUUGUAAAGUACUUUCAGCGGGGAGGAAGGGAGUAAAGUCAAUACCUUUGCUCAUUGACGUUACCCGCAGAAGAAGCACCGGCUAACUCCGUGCCAGCCGCCGCCGUAA
This 506-nucleotide ribosomal RNA is filed under the name uncultured bacterium. Its description in RNAcentral is "partial 16S ribosomal RNA". It matches the Rfam family "Bacterial small subunit ribosomal RNA", at positions 30 to 523 of the family's 1533-position model. The record is from RNAcentral.